UUUAAGCUCGUACCUUUUGCAUCAUGAUUUAGCCAGAAAAACCCAAGCAAAGAGCCCUUUAGUUUGGUUCCCCGAAACUAAGUGAGCUACUCCAAGACAGCCUAUUAAUAGGGCAAACCCGUCCCUGUGGCAAAAGGGUGGGAAGAGCUUUGAGUAGAGGUGACAAACCUACCGAACUUAGUUAUAGCUGGUUGCCUGAGAAUUGAAUAGAAGUUCAGCCUCUCGGCUUCUCCCCAAACCGCGAGAGUUACUCAAAGGGGGUACAGCCCCUUUGAGACAAGACACAACUUUACCAGGAGGGUAAAGAUCAUAAUAACAUAAAGGUAAAAUGUUCUGGUGGGCCUAAAAGCAGCCAUCCCUAUAGAAAGCGUUAAAGCUCAGACAUACUAUACUGAUAAUCCAAUCUUAACCCCCUAGCCCUACCAGGCCAUCCCAUGCAAACAUGGGAGCGACUAUGCUAAUAUGAGUAAUAAGAGAGGCCUCUCUCCUUGCACACGUGUAAAUCGGAAUGGACCCCCCACCGAAUCUUAACGGCCCCAAACAAAGAGGGAACUGAACAACAACCAGAAAACCAUCCACCGUUAACCCCACACUGGUGUGCCCCUAAGGAAAGACUAAAAGAAAAAGAAGGAACUCGGCAAACAAGCCUCGCCUGUUUACCAAAAACAUCGCCUCUUGCAGGAAUAAGAGGUCCCGCCUGCCCUGUGACUAUAUGUUUAACGGCCGCGGUAUUUUGACCGUGCGAAGGUAGCGCAAUCACUUGUCUUUUAAAUGGAGACCUGUAUGAAUGGCAUAACGAGGGCUUAGCUGUCUCCUUUUUCAAGUCAAUGAAAUUGAUCUCCCCGUGCAGAAGCGGGGAUAACACCAUAAGACGAGAAGACCCUAUGGAGCUUUAGACACCAAGGCAGAUCAUGUUAAACACCCCUUCACAAAGGACUAAACCAGAUGAACCCUGCCCUAAUGUCUUUGGUUGGGGCGACCGCGGGGAAACAAAAAACCCCCACGUGGAAUGGGAAUAUUCCUACAACUAAGAGCUCCCGCUCUAAUGACCAGAACUUCUGACCAAUCAGAUCCGGCAACGCCGAUCAACGAACCGAGUUACCCUAGGGAUAACAGCGCAAUCCCCUUUUAGAGCCCAUAUCGACAAGGGGGUUUACGACCUCGAUGUUGGAUCAGGAC
This 1179-nucleotide ribosomal RNA is filed under the name Kyphosus sectatrix (Bermuda sea chub). Its description in RNAcentral is "partial 16S ribosomal RNA". It matches the Rfam family "Bacterial large subunit ribosomal RNA", at positions 592 to 2543 of the family's 2925-position model. The record is from RNAcentral. Lineage: Eukaryota; Metazoa; Chordata; Actinopteri; Centrarchiformes; Kyphosidae.